GGGGAUGUAGCUCAGAGGUAGAGCGUUCGCUUUGCAUGCGAAAGGCCCCGGGUUCGACUCCCGGCAUCUCCA
RNAcentral lists this transfer RNA (72 nucleotides) under Cryptotermes secundus. RNAcentral's name for it is "tRNA-Ala (TGC) (tRNA-Ala-TGC-4-1, tRNA-Ala-TGC-4-2)". It matches the Rfam family "tRNA". From Rfam's summary of the family: Transfer RNA (tRNA) molecules are approximately 80 nucleotides in length. Their secondary structure includes four short double-helical elements and three loops (D, anti-codon, and T loops). Lineage: Eukaryota; Metazoa; Arthropoda; Insecta; Blattodea; Kalotermitidae. The record is from Rfam by way of RNAcentral.